AGAGUUUGAUCCUGGCUCAGAACGAACGCUGGCGGCGCGUCUUAAGCAUGCAAGUCGAGCGGCAAGCUAUGUGUUUACACGUAGCCUAGAGCGGCGGACUGGUGAGUAACACGUGGGUGACCUACCUAAAAGUUGGGAAUAGCCGUUAGAAAUAGCGGGUAAUACCGAAUGUGCUUACAGGAAGAAAGUCUUGUAAGGAAAGGAGCUACGGCUUCGCUUUUAGAUGGGCCCGCGCCCCAUUAGCUAGUUGGUGGAGUAAAAGCCUACCAAGGCGAUGAUGGGUAGCCGGCCUGAGAGGGUGAACGGCCACACUGGGACUGAGAUACGGCCCAGACUCCUACGGGAGGCAGCAGCUAAGAAUAUUCCGCAAUGGACGAAAGUCUGACGGAGCGACGCCGCGUGGAUGAUGAAGGCCGGAAGGUUGUAAAAUCCUUUUGUCAACGAAGAAUAAGCGGAGGAGGGAAUGUCUUCGUGAUGACGUUAGUUGACGAAUAAGCCCCGGCUAAUUACGUGCCAGCAGCCGCGGUAACACGUAAGGGGCGAGCGUUGUUCGGAAUUAUUGGGCGUAAAGGGCGCGUAGGCGGUUUUGCCAGCCUGAUGUGAAAGCCUGGGGCUUAACCCUGGAAUUGCAUUGGGAACUGCAAGACUUGAAUCAUGGAAGGGAAAUCAGAAUUCCAGGUGUAGGGGUGAAAUCUGUAGAUAUCUGGAAGAAUACCGGUGGCGAAAGCGAUCAUCUGGACUACAACUGACGCUGAGGCACGAAAGCGUGGGGAGCAAACAGGAUUAGAUACCCUGGUAGUCCACGCCGUAAACGAUGGAUACUAGGUAUAGGGAGAUAUUCUCUCUGUGCCGCAGCUAACGUAUUAAGUAUCCCACCUGGGGAGUACGGCCGCAAGGCUGAAACUCAAAGGAAUUGACGGGGACCCGCACAAGCAGUGGAGUAUGUGGUUUAAUUCGAAGCAACGCGAAGAACCUUACCAAGGCUUGACAUAAUACUGAAUAUUCUAGAGAUAGGAUAGGCCUUCGGGACAGUAUUACAGGUGGUGCAUGGUUGUCGUCAGCUCGUGUCGUGAGAUGUUCGGUUAAGUCCGGCAACGAGCGCAACCCUCGUGGCCAGUUGCCAUCAUUUAGUUGGGCACUUUGGCCAGACUGCCGUUGACAAAACGGAGGAAGGUGGGGAGGACGUCAAAUCAUCAUGCCCCUUAUAUCCUGGGCUACACACGUACUACAAUGGGCGUUACAACGGGCAGCCACACCGCGAGGUGGAGCGAAUCCCCAAAGGCGUCCUCAGUUCGGAUUGCAGGCUGCAACUCGCCUGCAUGAAGCCGGAAUUGCUAGUAAUGGCAGGUCAGCAUACUGCCGUGAAUACGUUCCCGGGCCUUGUACACACCGCCCGUCA
This 1399-nucleotide ribosomal RNA is filed under the name uncultured bacterium. Its description in RNAcentral is "partial 16S ribosomal RNA". It matches the Rfam family "Bacterial small subunit ribosomal RNA". The record is from RNAcentral.